RNAcentral lists this microRNA precursor (171 nucleotides) under Echinops telfairi (small Madagascar hedgehog). RNAcentral describes it as "miRNA (ENSETEG00000022076.1)". The record is from RNAcentral. Lineage: Eukaryota; Metazoa; Chordata; Mammalia; Afrosoricida; Tenrecidae.
UCAGAUGCCUGUAUGGACUCUGAAGGAUCUCCCUCAUCCUUCAGGCUGCAUACAAUGGUGAGAUCAGGUCAGGUGACAGGCUGAAAUUCAAGUCUAAAGAACCGGAGGUUAGGCAGAGAGAAGCAAAUCAGAUGCAGGGACUGAAGGGUGCUCCCCAACUCUGUCUCUCCU